GGGAGGGAAGAAAAGUCAGUAGAGAAGGUAGGCAGUGCUUGCAAAGGCCUGAGUCUGAGGUACUUCUUUAUAGCACUGCAAGAAUGGACUAAUACGCUAUGUGAAGACAAAGGGGAUGUCUGCAAGCCAGGACGAGUGCGUCUACCAGAAACUGAGUUCUGCUGGACUUUGAUCUAGGACAUCCAGCCUCCAGAAUGGAAUGUGCCAUAUGUGGAGACCUGCAUGGAAAGGAACUGAGGAUGCUCUCUCACUAAAAGCUAGAAGGAACUGAGGCCCUCAGUCAACAGUCUACAAGACACUGAAUCUUGCCAGCAGCCAAGCAGUGAGCUUGAAAGCAGAUCUAUCAUCAGCUGAACCUUCAGAUGAGACCGCAGCCUAAGCAGAUACCUUGGUUGCAGCCAUGUGAGACAACCUGAAACAGAGGGCACAGCUAAGCCUCAGCCAGGUUCAUGACCCUCUGAGGAAACUGUGAGAAAGCAAAUGUCAUUUUAAGCUAUUUAAUUUUGGAGGUAGUUUAUUACACAACAAUAAAUAACUAUUAUAAUUAUCUUGAGGAUUUAUUUCCUGGGGAGAAUACAUGGAAUUGCAUAUAUAGGUCCUCAUAUGCAGAAUACUGGUACCCUAGAGAUGUUCACCCCAGAGAUGUUUUAGGAACCUGUGAAUAUGUUACAUUAAAUGGCAAAGUUUUCCUGGAUGGUUUAAGUUUAAGAUGGAAAAGUUUUACUGGAUUAUCCAGUGGGUCCAAUCUAGUAACAUGAGUCCUUAAAAAUGGAGAAUAUUUUUUGGCCAUGAUCAGAGAGACAUGUGAUGAUGGAAAAAGUGUCAGAGAUGCAAUGUGAGGGGACUAAAACUGCUGUUGCUGACUUUAAAGAUGGAGAGAGGGGAACCCGAGUCAAGGAAUGCAAAUGGCCUCUGGAAGCUGGAAAAAGCAAGAAAUGGAUUCUCCUUUAGAGCCUGUGGAAUAAAAUGCAGUCAUGCUGACACCUUGAUUUUACCUCAGUGAGACCAAUACUGGAGUAUGACCUUCGGAGCUGUAAGUUAAUAAAUUUCUGUUGUCUUAUGCA
This 1064-nucleotide long non-coding RNA is filed under the name Homo sapiens (human). Its description in RNAcentral is "long intergenic non-protein coding RNA 1748". The record is from RNAcentral. Lineage: Eukaryota; Metazoa; Chordata; Mammalia; Primates; Hominidae.